GAUGAACGCUGGCGGCGUGCCUAAUACAUGCAAGUCGAACGCUGGAGAUCUAGCUUGCUAGAUCGAAGGAGUGGCGAACGGGUGAGUAAUACAUAAGCAACCUACCCACGAAGACUGGGAUAAUCUCUGGAAACGGGGACUAAUACCGGAUAGGUAAUCGGAAGGCAUCUUCUGGUUAUUAAAGGUUAAAAACACUGGUGGAUGGGCUUAUGGCGCAUUAGUUAGUUGGUGAGGUAACGGCCCACCAAGACGAUGAUGCGUAGCCGGCCUGAGAGGGUGAACGGCCACAUUGGGACUGAGACACGGCCCAGACUCCUACGGGGGGCAGCAGUAGGGAAUUUUCGGCAAUGGGGGCAACCCUGACCGAGCAACGCCGCGUGAGUGAAGACGGCCUUCGGGUUGUAAAGCUCUGUUGUAAGGGAAGAACGGUAGAUAGAGAAUAUCUAAGUGACGGUACCUUACCAGAAAGCCACGGCUAACUACGUG
Molecule: ribosomal RNA, 486 nt
Filed under: uncultured bacterium
Lineage: Bacteria
Description: partial 16S ribosomal RNA
Rfam family: Bacterial small subunit ribosomal RNA
Source: RNAcentral